GACGAACGCUGGCGGCGUGCUUAACACAUGCAAGUCGAACGAUGAAGCGGGUGCUUGCACUCGUGGAUUAGUGGCGAACGGGCGAGUAACACGUGAGUAACCUGUCCUUUUCUUUGGGAUAACGGCUGGAAACGGCUGCUAAUACUGGAUAUUCAGGCUGCAUCGCAUGGUGUGGUUUGGAAAGGUUUUUUCUGGGCUUGGGUGGGCUCGCGGCCUAUCAGCUUGUUGGUGGGGUGAUGGCUUACCAAGGCUUUGACGGGUAGCCGGCCUGAGAGGGUGGUCGGUCGCACUGGGACUGAGAUACGGCCCAGACUCCUACGGGAGGCAGCAGUGGGGAAUAUUGCACAAUGGAAGAAAGUUUGAUGCAGCGACGCCGCGUGGAGGGUGUAGGCCUUCGGGUUGUGAACUCCUUUUUCUCGCGAAAAAGGCACAGUUUUGGCUGUGUUGAUGGUAGUGGGGGAAGAAGCGCCGGCUAACUACGUG
RNAcentral lists this ribosomal RNA (483 nucleotides) under uncultured bacterium. Its description in RNAcentral is "partial 16S ribosomal RNA". It matches the Rfam family "Bacterial small subunit ribosomal RNA", at positions 28 to 507 of the family's 1533-position model. The record is from RNAcentral.